Molecule: ribosomal RNA, 122 nt
Filed under: Cottoperca gobio
Lineage: Eukaryota; Metazoa; Chordata; Actinopteri; Perciformes; Bovichtidae
Source: RNAcentral
GAUUACGGCCAUACCACACUGACAACGCCCGAUCUCGUCUGAUCUCGGAAGCUAAGCAGAGUUGGGCUGGGUCAGUACUUGGAUGGAUGGUGACCGCCUGGGAAUACCCGGUGCUGUAAGCA